UUUAUUUAUUGUUACAUUGUCACAAUGCCUUGCUGCAAUUUCUAAUUGUAAUUUCAAUUAUUUAAUCUGAAUUAUAAGCUCUCUACCUAAAAUUACUAGGGUGUUGCCCCUUACACAAUACUUUUCUUCCUAGCAAUAAAGUAGUGCCUUUUAACUGUCUUACUGCUUUCAGUGUAACAAAGGACAGACUCCAGAGAGAGGACAGCGAGAGUCUAUAAGUUUACAAUUUUUGAAACUGCAGCCCAUUGAAACCGAGGAAAACUCCACGAAAAAGUUGGAACCAAAAUGCGAUAACUAUAACAUAUGAAAAUUGAACUUGAUACUGAGCAAUUUUUUGAACCCUGGUGAAUGGUCGGAUUAAAAAAACAACAAUUUCUGUUAAUUAGUCCAUAAACUUUUGUACGUGGUUAGAUAAAUAACAGAUUUAGCUAACUAAUAUUGCUGAAUUAAUCUGAAUUAAUAAUAAUGUAAUAAAAUAAGUU
Molecule: long non-coding RNA, 482 nt
Organism: Centruroides sculpturatus (bark scorpion)
Lineage: Eukaryota; Metazoa; Arthropoda; Arachnida; Scorpiones; Buthidae
Exons: 3
Source: RefSeq, a predicted model, not a curated record